AUAGUCGAAAGACUGCCUAAAGGGCAGUAUCUAUAGAAGGGAAAUUUCGGGCAGAGCAACAACACGCGCUGGCCAUCUGCUACUGAACCUGUCAGUGCGGUACCUCGGGAUAAACAUUCUCUGGUGCAAACGUCGCUCUCACCUCUCCAACAAGCGGUGAACCAGUACUCCCUGCAUCGCGUCUUCUCCACGCUACAAACAAAGAAUGAAAUUCUCCGCCGACCUUGGAGCAAUUGUGAACCCAUUGAUCGUGCUGUUACUUCUUGCCCGGAUCCAGUUGAGCCGAGCGAAGCGUCUCCAUAAAAUGGACCCGGAAGACCCAGAAGCCUACCAGAUGGCUGAGUACGUCGAAAUAACGAUGUCAGAAGACGGUGACGUUGUCAACCGAGUGGACGAAGUUCGACUAGCAUUCUGGAAAGAAGUGGAUGCUGGAAAGGCGUACACACUGAAGUACUUGACGAGGCCGACGGUCUGCACGUAUCCCGUGCAUAAGGAGAUAGAGAGAUGCGCCAUGACUGACCCGGAGCCAAACAGAGAGUGCUUUGCUAUCAUAACGCAGCCUUACAUAGGAACCAAAGGAAAUAUAUGGACUGUAGACCACUACGAUUGCAGGCCUGCCCAUGGUAUGGAUGAAUAUCGAAAGCGGAACGCCGAAAUUCUUGAGCACGCUCAAAACGGAACCACAAGUGGGGCCACCAACAACGUUUCUCUCGGACAUCAAGUCAGAUAAGAUGAAAUAAACUUCUGAGGUACAACCUUGAA
Dermacentor albipictus is the source of this 762-nucleotide non-coding RNA. NCBI's taxonomy places the organism in Eukaryota, Metazoa, Arthropoda, Arachnida, Ixodida, Ixodidae. The record is from RefSeq and is a predicted model, not a curated record.